Molecule: long non-coding RNA, 423 nt
Filed under: Hordeum vulgare
Lineage: Eukaryota; Viridiplantae; Streptophyta; Magnoliopsida; Poales; Poaceae
Description: long non-coding RNA (HVUL_LNC000362)
Source: RNAcentral
AAGGAAAAAUCUUGUAUUGAAAUAAAUUUAUAUUAUAAUAUUUCAUAUUUAUUUAUAUUAUAAUAUUUCAUAUUUAUGGACACUUCAAGACAAGGGUUUUAGCUAUUGUUGUACUUCCAGCUACAUAUAUAUUUUCUUCUAAACUAUAAUACAUACACAGGAGCAUGCACAAACAAAUCUCCUGAUGCAAAAUAAAAACUGAGUAGUAUGCCCAAAAUACACGUCAGUGUCAAAUUAUACAAGUACAAUACUAAUUUUGAGGAUAGAUAGACUAAGACAGACCAAGAAACUGCUUGGAAGUCUAUUCAUUGGAGUACCAAAAUAAAAAAAGAAUAAGCAUCAAUAUUAGGAGUUGUGCUUUCCAUUCCUUUCAAAUAUGAUAAUAUCAUCAAAAAAGUAACGCACUCAUAUAAUCAAACUUGC